This 527-nucleotide long non-coding RNA is filed under the name Equus caballus (horse). Its description in RNAcentral is "lncRNA (ENSECAG00000028327.3)". The record is from RNAcentral. Lineage: Eukaryota; Metazoa; Chordata; Mammalia; Perissodactyla; Equidae.
CAAGGAUCUGGCACAUUCUCUGCCCAGCCUUUCCCCAUCACUGCUGCAGCAUGCCGCAGCCUGUGCUCUGGAUGGCCCUGGCUCCUCUGCUAGCCGCCCUCAAUGCAGGGAUGGUCACCUUCUCUCCCUGCAGUGGGGCCCACUGCACCAUCCUGUGCCUCAUCACCCGCUCGCCAGGCCAGCACUCCGUGGAGAGAAGCUGCGUGCCAUGCCCCUUUGGCUUUUGAGCUUGCCUGGGACCCAGUGCCUACAUCUCCUGAUCUCAGUCACAUCCAAGGUGGAUGGUGGAUGCAGGAGACAUGGGCUCCGGUCAGGCUCUGCUUUCACCUGUCCUGUGACCUGGUGUUUGGGUGGCAGGACAACUCUGCAGCCAUGCCCCACCUGCCGAACCUGCGCUGAGCUCCCAGGACUCAUAGACAGCAAGGAGUGCCAGUGGUGCCUGACUAGACAGAAGCCAAGCUCGCAGAAUGCUGGCUACGUCUUCUGCCCCCUGGGAUACUUCUUCACAGACAGAGGCCCCAGCUGCC